UACAUGUGGGGCAAGCGUUGUUCGGAAUUACUGGGCCUAAAGGGUGCGUAGGCGGUUUGUUAAGUCACUGGUGAAAGUUUUCGGCCCAACCGGAAAAUUGCCUGUGAUACUGGCGAACUUGAGUGCGUGAGGGGUGGGGGGAACGAGCAGUGUAGCGGUGAAAUGCGUAGAUAUUGCUCGGAAGGCCGGAGCCGAAGGGGCCCCACUGGUACGUAACUGACGCUGAGGCACGAAAGCGUGGGGAGCAAACAGG
RNAcentral lists this ribosomal RNA (253 nucleotides) under uncultured bacterium. Its description in RNAcentral is "partial 16S ribosomal RNA". It matches the Rfam family "Bacterial small subunit ribosomal RNA", at positions 524 to 776 of the family's 1533-position model. The record is from RNAcentral.